This 504-nucleotide ribosomal RNA is filed under the name uncultured bacterium. RNAcentral describes it as "bacterial SSU rRNA". It matches the Rfam family "Bacterial small subunit ribosomal RNA", at positions 11 to 535 of the family's 1533-position model. The record is from RNAcentral.
GUUUGAUCCUGGCUCAGGACGAACGCUGGCGGCGUGCUUAACACAUGCAAGUCGAACGGUAAGGCCCCUUCGGGGGUACACGAGUGGCGAACGGGUGAGUAACACGUGAGCAACCUGCCCUUGACUUCGGAAUACCAGCUGGAAACAGCUGCUAAUACCGGAUAUGACAUCUGCCUGCAUGGGUGGGUGUGGAAAGCUCCGGCGGUCAGGGAUGGGCUCGCGGCCUAUCAGCUUGUUGGUGAGGUAAUGGCUCACCAAGGCUUCGACGGGUAGCCGGCCUGAGAGGGCGACCGGCCACACUGGGACUGAGACACGGCCCAGACUCCUACGGGAGGCAGCAGUGGGGAAUAUUGGACAAUGGGCGCAAGCCUGAUCCAGCAAUGCCGCGUGGAUGAAGAAGGUUUUCGGAUUGUAAAGUCCUUUCGGCGGGGACGAUGAUGACGGUACCCGCAGAAGAAGCCCCGGCUAACUUCGUGCCAGCAGCCGCGGUAAUUCCCUGUGUGA